This 497-nucleotide ribosomal RNA is filed under the name uncultured bacterium. RNAcentral's name for it is "partial 16S ribosomal RNA". It matches the Rfam family "Bacterial small subunit ribosomal RNA", at positions 28 to 507 of the family's 1533-position model. The record is from RNAcentral.
GACGAACGCUGGCGGCGUGCCUAAUACAUGCAAGUUGAGCGCUGAAGGUUGGUACUUGUACCAACUGGAUGAGCAGCGAACGGGUGAGUAACGCGUGGGGAAUCUGCCUUUGAGCGGGGGACAACAUUUGGAAACGAAUGCUAAUACCGCAUAAAAACUUUAAACACAAGUUUUAAGUUUGAAAGAUGCAAUUGCAUCACUCAAAGAUGAUCCCGCGUUGUAUUAGCUAGUUGGUGAGGUAAAGGCUCACCAAGGCGAUGAUACAUAGCCGACCUGAGAGGGUGAUCGGCCACAUUGGGACUGAGACACGGCCCAAACUCCUACGGGAGGCAGCAGUAGGGAAUCUUCGGCAAUGGACGAAAGUCUGACCGAGCAACGCCGCGUGAGUGAAGAAGGUUUUCGGAUCGUAAAACUCUGUUGGUAGAGAAGAACGUUGGUGAGAGUGGAGAGCUCAUCAAGUGACGGUAACUACCCAGAAAGGGACGGCUAACUACGUG